This 1191-nucleotide long non-coding RNA is filed under the name Homo sapiens (human). RNAcentral's name for it is "HSALNT0227532". Lineage: Eukaryota; Metazoa; Chordata; Mammalia; Primates; Hominidae. The record is from RNAcentral.
GCAGUGGAUCUCUGUUCAGAGAGGGAGGAGGAGAGAGAAGGAGGGAGGGAAGAAAGGAGAGAGGGAGAGAGCCAGAAAACAGAGCAAGAUAAAGGAAGAGAAUGCACCUGAAAUAGACACAAGGAUAAAUGGAUCAAGGAGAGAGGAGAAACAGAUAAUCACAACAGCGAAUAUUUGUUAAAUGCAUGCUCUUUGCCAGACCUGUCAGAUUCUCUGUCUUCAGGAUUCCAGGUGAUUCAUCUGCCUUCAAAGCUACCCCAGUCCUGCUUGACCCUUCCAGGACUCUCAACUGUGAUUUUUGGCUAGAACAAGAAGCAGAAGCUUGACACUAUAGAAAGAGUUUUCAAUCAGGAAGACCUGGGUUCAAAUCCCAGCAGUACUUCUAAGUAUCUACUCAAGAGAAGCACUUACCUGCAUGCAGUAUGGGUCGUGCAUGCAAAUUUUCACUGCAAAACUGCCUUUUAUAAUUAAAGACAAUUGAAGUCAACCUCAGGGUGUAUCAAUAGGGGAAAGAAUAAAUAGGAUAUGGUUUAUAUGAUGGAGUAAAACACAGCCCUCAAAGGAAUGAAUUGACAUCAGUUGGAGAGGUGGAUCUCAAAGACACAUAUUGUUGAAUAAAAAAUAUGAGUUGUUGAGAAAUCCAUUUAAAAGGAUACCAUUUCUGUAAAAAAAUCACAGCAAAUGCCAUGUAUUUUAUGGAUACAUUUAUGUGCAUGUAAAGUAAUAAAAAGAGGUCUAGAAGAACAGGAAUGACAUUCAUAAUGCUAUCUGAGGCGGAAGUCAAAGGGACUUUAUCUGCACUGUUCUAAUUUUCUAAAAGGCAAAUGAACUGAUUUAUUAUAAGAAGAAAAACUCUGCCAGUGUGACCUUUGAAAAAUAAUAUACACUUUUCUGGCCAGGCACGGUGGCUCACGCCUGUAAUCUUAGCACUUUGGGAGGCCGAGGUGGGUGGAUCACGAGGUCAAGAGAUCGAGACAAUCCUGGCCGACAUGGUGAAACCCCGUCUCUACUAAAAAUACAAAAAUUAGCUGGGCAUGGUGGUGUGCGCCUGUAGUCCGAGCUACUCGGGGGGCUGAGGCCGGAGAAUCGCUUGAACCCGGGAUGUGGAGGUUGCAUUGAGCCGAGACUGCACCACUGUACUCCAGCCUGGUGACAGAGCACGACUCCAUCUCAAUAAAUAAAUAAAUAAAC